This 375-nucleotide ribosomal RNA is filed under the name uncultured bacterium. RNAcentral's name for it is "bacterial SSU rRNA". It matches the Rfam family "Bacterial small subunit ribosomal RNA", at positions 30 to 409 of the family's 1533-position model. The record is from RNAcentral.
AUUGAACGCUGGCGGCAUGCCUUACACAUGCAAGUCGAACGGCAGCACGGGAGCAAUCCUGGUGGCGAGUGGCGAACGGGUGAGUAAUAUAUCGGAACGUGCCCAGUCGUGGGGAUAACGUAGCGAAAGCUACGCUAAUACCGCAUACGAUCUAUGGAUGAAAGCGGGGGAUCGCAAGACCUCGCGCGAUUGGAGCGGCCGAUAUCAGAUUAGGUAGUUGGUGAGGUAAAGGCUCACCAAGCCGACGAUCUGUAGCUGGUCUGAGAGGACGACAGCCACACUGGGACUGAGACACGGCCCAGACUCCUACGGGAGGCAGCAGUGGGAAUUUUGGANAAUGGCGCAAGCCUGAUCCAGCAAUGCCGCGUGCAGGAU